GAUCCUUUUCUUUAUUUAUUUGAUAAUUAAAUUUGAUACUUAAGGACCGUCAACAAACUCCCCCAAGCUUACCUCUUGCUCGUCCCUGAGCAAGGAUAGACUCAGCUAUGGAUCAAAAGUAGUUGCAAUAUCUUUAAAAAAUUUGACGGUUCACAUGCUUUUAAAUAAGAUCUCAUCUCUGAGUUAGAGUAAACUGUCAAGACUUAAAACUUACUUACUUUACCUUCACCAUGGGACUUGUAACUGUCACUUCUGUCUUGAGUGGUUAAAAGAUAGAACAGUCUAGUCAAGUGCCAUGUCUCUUAUUCUUGAUCAGCUAUAGCUCUAGGGUUUUUGCAGAUUUUCAAAUAAAACUCAGAAAUUCCUUGUAUGAUUCUCUCAGGUCUCUCUUUUGUGGUAUUUUUGGAUCCUUACCAAGGCAUUGAUGGUAUAUGCCGUCUCUCAAGAUAUGUAGUAUUUGUGGUAUAAAGCAUAAUGACAUUGCCUUCUCUCUCAUCCUACUCUAAUAAGGCUUUAAUAUCUGGAGCUCAUAGGUGGGAGAUAAAGUAUACAUACUUAUAAGACAUUUAUUGCAUAGUCAAACCAUGGAUCCAAAGUAACAAGUCAAUAAGCCAAAUCAAGAUGUGCAUGUGUGGCGAAUGAAUGGUGUAUGGUGAUGAUGGUGAUAACAAUGGUGAAAACAAUGGUGGUGGAAGUCUAAUUCUACUUUUGCUCUUUUGAGGGGAUACAUACCUUCCUUGCUUUUUGAAACUUUAUGAGAUGCUCUAUAUUUUUCUUUUCUCUCAGGUGGGUAUCUUGUACCCCUAAUUCUACUGUCGGACACUUGUCCAUUUUUACCUCUCGUCUCACUUUUCUUUUCUUUCGAGGUUCCGAGCACUUGCUCCUUUUUAUUUCCUCGUAUAUAUAUAUAUAUAUAUAUAUUUUUAUUAGAGCACUCAUCUCUUGAGAUAAUAUAGCAAGUGGUAGUAACAAGAUAACUUGAGCAUUUAUUUCACAAGGGGAAAACAGAAAUAUUUUUGGUUACUCUCUCCCGGAUUAGGAGUAGAAUAUUUUUGGGUGAUUCUGGAGAUGGAAAUGAAUGGAUAUAUGUGGAUGGUACUUCCGGAGUAGAAGUAGCAUAUAUGAGUGAACGUGUAAGUGAAAUCUUGAUUUAACCACAUGACAAGCUCCUAAGGAUCUACACAGCUUGACCACACUCAAUGCUCAUAAGCAGUAAAUAUUAAAUGUGUGGCUCAAAGUCUAGCAAGAAUGUAUAUAUGGCUGUGGUAGGAAUUUAAACUCUCAUCAUACAGGAACUCAUCAUGCAACAUUUUAAAGAUUUUCAAAGAUAAAAUUCUCCAGAAUUCUAGAAUCUCUAGGAACAGAUAAACAGCAGCUCAACCUUCCCAUAUCAUAUCCGUUAACAACUUAGACUUCAGAUCAAGUUUUCAUCCCACAAGUUUAGGUCUAGAGCAAGCUUUAAAUUAUAACAGUUAUAUCUAAACUUGAGAGAGAACUUAAAAUUUGCAAAUUAGGCAGAGCAACUAUUUAUCAUAUCCAUGCUUAAGUUUUAUUUAGAUACAGAUUAGCAUAGCCACUUUAUUUAUUUAUUAAACACACUAAGCAAAAGAUAUAUAUAUAAGCAUAAAAUCUUUAUUUGGUUUUCCCAUAGUUUAUGUGUAUUUUAAUAUUCUAAAAUAAUAUAAGUAUAAAGAUAGAUAGAAAUACUUAUCGUGAUAAAUGGGGGUGCUCUCCCCCAAGCUGAAUUUUGACGUAAUUUCUCUUGGUGUAGCUGGUAGGUGGUAGAGGUGUAUUUGAAAGUCAGCAGCAUUGUGACAGCGAUUAGAAUGUCCUCCGUCUGCCAGUCUUCUUGAUUCUUAAAUUUCUGUGGAGCUCAAAUAGACAACAAAGCUUGUGGAACUGAUUAAGUGUUAGCAUAAAUAUCUAGCCUUUAUUAUGUUGAGGCUCCUUAAUAAAUGUUACUCUCUGUUUUUAUAUUUUUGUUUUAUAAAGCAGAAAAAUAUUUAUUUUAUUUUUAUGCCACCACAGUGAAUGUACUUAUGGGUUUUAUGCCACUCGUCUACUCACAUGGGGCUUAUAGUUUUUAACAUUUUUAUUUUCUUUUUAAGAUAGUGUGAAUAUGAUUAACUAAGUAAACUAUUUGAAAUAACUGAAAGGGAAAGGGUCACUACCAAGUUUACCUCUUGGCAAAGCGUUCGGUGUUUUUAAGUCCUCCGAACGGGACUCUCCAAUUUCUUAAUCGUCGUGAGGUUCGUUGGGUGGCGUAGUCGGUACUUCCGGCAGCGCCUCCUCUUCUUGUAUAGUUAUCUUCAUUUUCCAUACCUGACUCGGUGCUUCAAUCUCCUCUGGAUAAUUCUGUUUAAAUUCAACGUCUUCUGACCUUACAACUUCUCCUUCAUAGUCUGCCCAUCCGUCCUUGAUGAUCUGCCUCCUCUGGUUGCGGUUGCGUCUCUUUCUGACCUGCUUAGAUUCUUCAACGAUAUAGUCAGGGUCAGUAAAAUAACGGCGUACCUUCUCUGAGGGGAAGUGCAUAUGGACUUCUCCGGUUCCAAUGUAGAUGAUUGCUUUAACGGUGCUGAGGAACGGUCUUCCAAGGAUGAUGGGUGGAUCGUACUCAUCUUCUCCCAUCUCAACAACUUGAAAGUCUAUGUAGACAAAGUGAUCGUCUAUUUUGACUGGGACAUCAGUUACUAUUCCUUUAACUUCUCGAAAUGUCUGAUCUGCCAUCUAGAGCUGAAUGUAUGUUGGUCUUAGUGGCAUGGUCCCGAACAAGAGCCGAUAGGUGACUGCGGCCAUUAUGUUGACGCCUGAUCCGGUGUCGCAAAUCGUCUUGUAGAAGUUGUAUCCAUUUAUAGAGCAGUAGAUGCUUGGCAUUCCUGGGUCGUCCUUCUUGGUCAAAAACAGUGACUUAAGUUGGUGAUCUUGGCCUCCAUGGGCUACAGUGACCAUCUUAGCUGACUCGGCCCACACUUGCUUGUUCCUGUUUCUCCUGUUGGUCCUCUUCCUUGAUUUACGUCUGGAUUGAUCUUGAAUUUGUGUAGUCUUGUUCUUGAAGAAAAAUGUCUCCUUCUUCCCUUUGACGUAGAAACUGAUCUUGGCAGCACUGGCGUAGAUGAUAGCUCCCGUGGUAUUCAAGAAUGGCCUCCCUAAGAUGAUAGGUGCUUUCUCAUCAUUUCCAGUCUCUACCACUACGAAGUCUGCUGGGGCAUAUAAGGUACCAACUCGGACACAAAGGUUCCUCACUAUUCCUUUUGGGAAAGUUAUCGUCUGAUCUACAAACUGCAAACACAUGGUUGUUUCUAAUAAAGGAUAUGUAAAGAAUUUCUCAUAGAGUACCCUGGGUAUAAUGUUGACAUUGGAGCCAAAGUCACAGAGUGCUUCUGGAAAGUCCACCAUGCCGAUGGAGAUCGGGAUGACGGGGCGUCCUGGAUCGCCUCUCUUGACCGGCAGACGGUCAGUAGAAAAUUCAGUGACGGGGUUACUCCAAUUACCUGCAUCAAACAUGUCUACAAGAUUUGCAGAUUCUAAUCCUUCUGGUUGUGAUGGUAUACCGGGGUUAGUAGUAGGAACAGCAGCAGCUAUUUGAUUUAACUGGGAUUCAAUCAUUUUAUUAAAGCUAAUUUGAUUCUUGAUGGCAGUAGAGAAAUUAUCCAUUCUAUUAUUUAUAUUUUCUAGCAUUUUAUCAUUAGAUGCCAAUUUCUUAGAUAGAUUAUUCCAUUAGCUUACCUUGAUUAGACACUAACUCUCUCAAAGGUGGAAAAUUACUAUUGUUGUUGUAAGAAUUGUUACCUUGAUAAUUACCUGAGUAGUUAGGCCUCUGUUGAUUCCAACCUUGAUUUUGUUGAGGACGGUUGUAGUUGUUGUUGUUGUUGUUGUUGAUGUAGUUCACAUCCUCAAGCAUCUCAGGGCAGUGGUUGCCUGAGUGUCUAGUGUCUCCACACUCCUCACAAGUCAUGUGAGAGUCGUAGAUGUGCAUAACUUCUUUCUUGUCUCCAGCUCUAUCGUCGAGCUUCUUCAUGAGCAGGUCUAGCUUUGCAGACAGCAUGUCUACCUCCUUCAGCUGAUGUAUACCUCCACCUCUCUUGCGUGUCUGGGUCCUCUCUUCAUUCCAGCUUUGAUUGGACACCAUCUUCUCCACAAGAGCUGUGGCUUGUGGUAUAGUAAGUGAUAAGAAUGCUCCUCCAGCUGCAGCAUCCAUGGUUUCUCGGGCACUGUUGCCGAGUCCAUGAUAGAACGUCUGCAUCAAUAGCCAACUCUCCAUUCCAUGAUGGGGACAUUCUAGGAUGUAGUCUUGAAAGCGCUCCCAUGCUUCUGGAACAGAUUCAUCAUUUUGUUGCUGAAAACUUGUAAUCUUCCCACGGAGAGCAUUGGUCUUGCCCAUGGGAAAGAACUUUGCCAGGAAGUUUGUUGAGCAGAGUGCCCAGGUAGUAUUCUUCUCCUUUGUAGCGUAGAACCACUGCUUCGCUCUUCCUAACAAUGAGAAUGGGAAGAGGCGAAGUAGUAUAGCAUCUUUGGAAACUCCUUGUAUGGUGAAUGUGUUGCAAAUCUCCAGGAAGUGUUGUAAAUGAGCACUAGCAUCUUCGUGUGCCUUCCCACAGAACUGGUUCGAUUGCACCAUGUUGAUAAGUCCAGGCUUGAGCUCAAAGUUGCCAUCGAUCUCUGCAGCAGGUCCAGUGCGGAUGUUGUCCGUAGUGGGAGCUGAGAACUCGCGGAUUGAUUUGUUCGCCAUGGCCUCGAACUCUGAAGACAAGUUUCGGUGAUCUUCUUGAUUGGAUGAAGCUUCUUGCUGAAGUGUUGAUGAUUUCUUUAGCUUGGCUCUCGUCUUCUUGAAUAAUGCUUCAGGAUUGUCAACAAAAUUCCCUGGAAGAUGUCUUCUAUUCAUACAUUCCCCUGCAUAAGAUAAAAUAGAAAAAUAUCGGGGUAAAACUGUAUGAGAGAAUAGAUAAGCUCAAUCAUAUUAGUGAUGCGAAUGAUAACUCAAAAUCUUUUAUUCCAUUCCUGAUUAGUAAUCAACCUUCACCGGCAACGACGCCAAAAAUGCUUGUUGGGUAUUCUUAACAUCAUUACCAAAAGUAGACUAAGUUCUAAAUCUAGCAACGGUGCCAAAAAUGCCAAACCUAUCUCUCACACCACUUAAGCCAAGUUGUCAUCCCCAGCAUGAUAUGAGAGACGCGGUAUUGAUUUAUGCAAUUGCUCUUCUAAAUAAAUAAUGAAUGGGAUCUGCAAGCGCACAGAUUAAUACCGAUGUAGAAUUUUAACCGGGAAGUAUUCCAGGUAUCGUUAUUUAUAUUUUUACCACUGGGAAGGGAUUAGAAAUCAUCACUAAUGAUUACAGAAUAGAAUAUGAGAUUGAGCAUCUAUCAUUGCAUGUAUAAUUGAGAACAUUAUAUCUAACUCUUCAUACAGGGAUAAAUGUCACAUAAAAGAUAUAUGAAAUAAUAAUAGUGACAAGGAUAACUAAUCUGAUCUAGCCACAUAAUAAAUAUGAUAAGCACCUCAAUUAGAUACUCUAGAAAGUCAUUAGCCUGGUAUUAGAACGAACCACAAGAAUAUUCCCUAAGUUAUUCUUAACUAUAUAGUCUAGCAUUAUCAUAAUUAGUGCAAGCAUACUUAGCAAUCAUUGCGAGAGAAGACUACGCCCAUGCAUAGUGAUAUUAGCAAGGAAUAUGAGAAACAUAGCAAUCACUCCCCUGUAAUAAUGUUGCUCUGCCAGCCCAAUACACGAGAGGGGGACUAUAUAAGAAUCAAUGAAGUUGUCACUAUCACGAACCACCCCACGAUCUGGCAUAUUGGGUACAAUCGCAGAUAAAUACGGUAUAAGCACCACGCCUACACAAUAUCUAUCAUUUACCCAUGGAUCCGAUGGAUAAACGCUAUACGAUCCUAAGCAUGUAUAUAGAUCGUAUCUAACUAAGCCAAGUACAUAACUAUGAUAAACUAAGAACAAUAUAAUCUUGAAUAUAAGCAAGUAGAGCAAAGUCAUAAGCAAUAUAUUGAAGUAGAACAAAGUCAUAUUCAUAAUAUUGAAGAACAAAGAUAAUUAGAAAGCAAUUAGAAGCACAAUUAGAGAAUUACCAAGAAUCCUCAUGACAGAUCCAGAAACCAAUCGAAGAUUGACUCCUUCUAGUUCUAAUCCUAUGUAGCUAUGCUAAUCUAGAUAUCUAAUUGAUGUGGUGGCUCUAAUCUUGAUCAGAGGCUUCUUCUCCCUUGAUGGAACAAUGAAUUAGGGUCAAGAGGCUCUCUCCUCUAGGGGCCAGGGGGUCUGGUUUUAUAGUCCCUACAAGUGAAUAUGGGCCCUUGGAUCAAACCGACAUAGAUUGUAUGGUUUAGAUUCAUCCUUUAGGUCGGUGGAGAUCUCCCGCAAAGCAGAGUCCUGAUUGGACACAGGGGCAGGGCGGGCGCCCAGUAGGACAGGGCGGGCGCCCUAUCUCUGGCCCCGUUUCGCCUCCGCUUCGGUCUCGUGGCUUCUGGAGUCUUCUAGAUGUAAGAUAAUUGCGCAGCACGUUAAUAUCUUUAUGUAAUCCUGACAUGUGGGCCUUUCUUCCAUAUUUCCUGAUAACCCCCUGCAGAAAUAGACAAACACCAAAACUCGUGGAAUUCUGUCAGAUAAAACCCUAAGUCUAGAUCUUGAUUUCAUUUGGAUCCUUUCUUUAUUUAUUUGAUAAUUAAAUUUGAUACUUAAGGACCGUCAACAGUGGUGGCUCUAAUCUUGAUCAGAGGCUUCUUCUCCCUUGAUGGAACAAUGAAUUAGGGUUGAGAGGCUCCCUCCUCCAGGGGCCAGGGGGUCUGGUUUUAUAGUCCCUUCAAGUGAAUAUGGGCCCUUGGAUCAAACCAACAUAGAUUAUAUGGUUUAGAUUCAUCCUUUAGGUCGGUGGAGAUCUCCCACAAAGCAGAGUCCUGAUUGGACUCCUGGAGGGGGCGGGCGGCCAGGGCAGGAGGGCGGGCGCCCUGCCUCUGGCCCCGUUUCGCCUCCACUUCGGUCUCGUGGCUUCUGGAGUCUUCUAGAUGUAAGAUAAUUGCGCGGCACGUUAAUAUCUCUAUGUAUUCCCGACGUGUGGGCCUUUCUUCCAUAUUUCCUGAUAACCCCCUGCAGAAAUAGACAAACACCAAAACUCGUGGAAUUCUGUCAGAUAAAACCCUAAGUCUAGAUCUUGAUUUUAUUUGGAUCCUUUUCUUUAUUUAUUUGAUAAUUAAAUUUGACACUUAAGGACCGUCAACAAACUCCCCCAAGCUUACCUCUUGCUCGUCCCUGAGCAAGGAUAGACUCAGCUAUGGAUCAUAAGUUGUUGCAAUAUUUUAAAAAUUGACGGUACACAUGCUUUUUAAAUAAGACCUCAUCUCUGAGUUAGAGUAAACUGUCAAGACUUAAAACUUACUUACUUUACCUUAACCAUGGGACUUGUAACCGUCACUUCUGUCUUGAGUGGUUAAAAGAUAGAACAGUCUAGCCAAGUGCCAUGUCUCUUAUUCUUGAUCAGCUAUAGCUCUAGGGUUUUUGCAGAUUUUCAAAUAAAACUCAGAAAUUCCUUGUAUGAUUCUCUCAGGUCUUUCUUUUGUGGUAUUUCUGGAUCCUUACCAAGGCAGUGAUGGUAUAUGCCUUCUCUCAAUAUAUGUAGUAUUUGUGGUAUGAGGCAUAGUGACAUUGCCUUCUCUCUCACCCUACUCUAAUAAGGCUUUAAUAUCUGGAGCUCGUAGGUGGGAGAUAAAGUAUACAUACUUACAAGACAUUUAUUGCAUAGUCAAACCAUGGAUCCAAAGAAACAUAUCAAUAAGCCAAAUCAAGAUGUGUAUGUGUGGUGAAUGAAUGGUGUAUGGUGAUGAUGGUGAUAACAAUGGUGAAACCAAUGGUGGUGGAAGUCUAAUUCUACUUUGCUCUUUGAGGGGAUACAUACCUUCCUUGCUUUUGAAACUUUAUGAUGAGAAUGAGAUGCUCUUCUUUUUAUUGUCUCUCAGGUGGGUAUAUUGUACCCCUAAUUCUACUGUCGGACACUUGUCCAUUUUUACCUCUCGUCUCACUUUUUCUUUUCUUUCGAGGUUCCGAGCACUUGCUCCUUUUUAUUUCCUCGUAUAUAUAUAUUUUUUCUUUCUCUUUUUUUUAGAGCAUUCAUCUCUUGAGAUAAUAUAGCAAGUGGUAAUAACAAGAUAACUUGAGCAUUUAUUUCACAAGGGAAAACAGAAAUAUUUUUGGUUAUUCUCUCCCGGAUGAGGAGUAGAAUAUUUUUGGGUGAUUUUAGAGAUGGAAAUGGAUGGAUAUAUGUGGAUGGUACUUUCGGAGUAGAAGUAGCAUAUAUGAGUGAACGUGCAAGUGAAUCUUGAUUUAACCACAUGACAAGCUCCUAAGGGUCUACACAGCUUGACCACACUCAAUGCUCAUAAGCAGUAAAUAAUAAAUGUGUGGCUUAAAGUCUAGCAAGCAUGUAUAUAUGGCUGUGGUAGGAAUUUAAACUCUCAUCAUACAGAAACUCAUCAUGCAACAUUUUAAAGAUUUUCAAAGAUAAAAUUCUCCAGAAUUCUAGCAUCUCGAGGAACAGAUAAACAGCAGCUCAACCUUCCCAUAUCAUAUCCGUUAACAACUUAGACUUCAGAUCAAGUUUUCAUCCCACAAGUUUAGGUCUAGAGUAAGCUUUAAAUUAUAACAGUUAUGUCUAAACUUGAGAGAGAACUUAAAAUUUGCAAAUUAGGCAGAGCAACUAUUCAUCAUAUCCAUGCUUAAGUUUUAUUUAGAUACAGAUUAGCAUAGCCACUUUAUUUAUUUUAUUAAACACACUAAGCAAAAGACAUAUAUAUAUAAGCAUAAAAUCUUUAUUUGGUUUUCCAUAGUUUAUGUGUAUUUAUAUUCUAAAAUAAUAUAAGUAUAAAGAUAGAUAGAAAUACUUAUCGAGAUAAAUGGGGGUGCUCUCCCCCAAGCUGAAUUUUGACGUAAUUUCUCUUGAUGUAGCUAGCAGGUGGCAGAGGUGUAUUUGAAAGUCAGCAGCAUUCUGACAGCGAUUAGAAUGUCCUCCGUCUGCCAGUCUUCUUGAUUCUUAAAUUCUGUGGAGCUCAAAUAGACAACAAAGCUUGUGGAACUGAUUAAGUGUUAGCAUAAAUAUCUAGCCUUUAUCAUGUUGAGACUCCUUAAUAAAUAUUACUCCCUGUUUUUAUAUUUUUGUUUUAUAAAGCAGAAAAAUAUUUAUUUUAUUUUUACGCCAACACAGUGAAUGUACUUAUGGGUUUUAUGCCACUCGUCUACUCACAUGGGGCUUACUGUUUUUCACAUUUUUAUUUUCUUUUUGAGAUAGUAUGAAUAUGAUUAACUAAGUAAACUAUUUGAAAUAAUUGAAAGGGAAAGGAUAACUACUAAGUUUACCUCUUGGUAAGGCGUUCGGUGUUUUUAAGUCCUCCGAACGGGACUCUCCAUUUUCUUAAUCGUCCUGAGGUUCGUUGGGUGGCGUAGUCGGUACUUCCGGCAGCGCCUCCUCUUCAUGUAUAGUUAUCUUCAUUUUCCACAC
This 9488-nucleotide long non-coding RNA is filed under the name Sorghum bicolor (sorghum). RNAcentral's name for it is "long non-coding RNA (SBIC_LNC018108)". The stretch from base 4260 to 4366 matches the Rfam family "Plant small nucleolar RNA R71". The record is from RNAcentral. Lineage: Eukaryota; Viridiplantae; Streptophyta; Magnoliopsida; Poales; Poaceae.